GCAGUUCGGAAGGACCCGAGUCCCUUAACUAACCGAGAGCUAACAGAGUACGAGUACAUCUGGUUGAAAGAGAAAAGGCAGAGAGAAAAGCAGACUUUUUGGAGUUGUUGUUCUCAGGCACUAACAGAUUCAUCCCUUAUAUGCAUAUGAAUGGACAAUAAGAUUUCUUGGAUAUUUUCAUGGCAAAGGGUAAGAGUGAAGCUAUCCUGGACAAGAACUUUGACAGGACAAUACUAUUCACUCUGAAGGACCAAAAAAUGAGCAGAAAAUUUGGGAUAAAUGUCAACAAGAUUUGAACCCUAAAGAAAAGCAAGCAUCGAGUUAGACAGACGUCCAUAUUCAUUCAACUGGGAAAAUAAAACUGCAGUCCCAACAUCAGAAUUUC
Molecule: long non-coding RNA, 385 nt
Filed under: Homo sapiens (human)
Lineage: Eukaryota; Metazoa; Chordata; Mammalia; Primates; Hominidae
Description: non-protein coding lnc-ESR2-3:6
Source: RNAcentral